AGGAGGUUAACUCUCUCCCA
This 20-nucleotide small nuclear RNA is filed under the name Arabidopsis thaliana (thale cress). RNAcentral describes it as "snRNA_17287". The record is from RNAcentral. Lineage: Eukaryota; Viridiplantae; Streptophyta; Magnoliopsida; Brassicales; Brassicaceae.